CCCGCUGAACUUAAGCAUAUCAAUAAGCGGAGGAGAAGAAAUUAACUAAGAUUGCCCUAGUAACGGCGAGUGAAGCGGCAAGAGCCCAAACUGGAAAUCUUGUACUUUCAGUACACGAAUUGUAAUCUAAAGGAUGCUUGCUCACCGGGCAGUGGCGCAGAAGUUCCCUCGAACGGGACGCCAGAGAGGGUGACAGCCCCGUAUGUGGUGCCAUUGCCUAACGAGUGGGUGUUCAAAGAGUCGGGUUGUUUUGUACUACAGCCCUAAGUGGGAGAUAAACUUCUUCUAAGGCUAAAUAUAUAUGGGAAACCGAUAGCGAACAAGUACUGUGAAGGAAAGAUGAAAAGAACUUUGAAAAGAGAGUCAAAAGACUUGAAAUCGUUGAGAAGGAAGCGGUAGAAAUUUAUCCUUCGGCGGAGGUCGGUGGUCCUUGCCUAACCAUUGCUGGCCGGCAGUACUGUCAUAAGACUGUGGUUAGUACCUGGGGAAGCGGCGCCUUGACCUCUGUCGUGAGGCAAAAUGAGGUCGUGUUCCCGCAUAGGCUUCUUACGCCUGGCCCGAUUCGUUGGGCAGCGUAGGUGUGCCGGCGGGCAUGCGGCCUGAGGAUGCUUUUGCGAUUUUGCCAAAAUGGUUUUUACCGACCCGUCUUGAAACACGG
This 658-nucleotide ribosomal RNA is filed under the name uncultured fungus. Its description in RNAcentral is "eukaryotic LSU rRNA". It matches the Rfam family "Eukaryotic large subunit ribosomal RNA", at positions 24 to 664 of the family's 3401-position model. Lineage: Eukaryota; Fungi. The record is from RNAcentral.